Molecule: ribosomal RNA, 381 nt
Filed under: uncultured bacterium
Lineage: Bacteria
Description: bacterial SSU rRNA
Rfam family: Bacterial small subunit ribosomal RNA
Source: RNAcentral
AUUGAACGCUGGCGGCAUGCCUUACACAUGCAAGUCGAGCGGCAGCGCGGGGGCAACCCUGGCGGCGAGCGGCGAACGGGUGAGUAAUGCAUCGGAACGUGUCCUUUUGUGGGGGAUAACCAGUCGAAAGACUGGCUAAUACCGCAUGAGCUCGAGAGAGGAAAGCAGGGGACCGCAAGGCCUUGCGCGAGAGGAGCGGCCGAUGCCCGAUUAGCAGUUGGUGAGGUAACGGCUCACCAAGGCGACGAUCGGUAGCUGGUUUGAGAGAACGACCAGCCACACUGGGACUGAGACACGGCCCAGACUCCUACGGGAGGCAGCAGUGGGGAAUUUUGGACAAUGGGGGAAACCCUGAUCCAGCCAUGCCGCGUGUGUGAAGAA